Molecule: non-coding RNA, 1051 nt
Organism: Lolium perenne
Lineage: Eukaryota; Viridiplantae; Streptophyta; Magnoliopsida; Poales; Poaceae
Source: RefSeq, a predicted model, not a curated record
CAGGUGGGGCCGCAUCAGCCUUCGUCUUGGGUCCUGCCGUUCCUCCCCAAUCGCCCGCCUCGACGUGUAGAGGGGUCGAAGCUGUGGGGGACGCAACAUUGGCGGCGGGCUUUCGCUGGAGGAGCGCGUCCUGGAGGAGGGUGGCGGCGUUCCAGCGAGAGGCCCUGGGUUGGGAGGAGAGGACGCGGGAGGAGGACGAGAAGGGGUGAGGGCGCUCGACCCCGCCGCCCAGCAACGCCGACGGCCAACAUCUACAGCGACGCCGCUAGGGUUGGGCGACACCUCCAUCGGAGAUCCCUAUCGAAGCUUGCACAGGCUCCGUGUAGCCGCCGCCAGCGCCUCCUCGUUGCUGUGGGCAAGCCUGGUCUCCACCAGCAGCGCCCCCUGGCGCUCGCACGGGAACCGGCUGGCACGUCCGUCUUCACCAGGCCAAGAAAGAUUAGGGUUUGGGUGUCCAGGAGAUUCACCGACAGCAGCACCAGCCAUCAUUGUUUUUUAUGGACUCCAUGGCUGUUGUAGGAAUGGAGCAAAAGGGUGAUUUUUUUGGAGGGUCUGAUCGUUGUUGUUCUGCUUGAUUACCACAACAAUAGGGUUGCUCCCUCCUGCAAAGCCAUAUAAUAAAAGGUGAAGAGCGGCGGUAGGGAACCACGCCUACGAGCAUGCUCAUGGUGGUACCUAGAUCCCAGCAAUGCAUGGUUACGGAUGUCCUCAGCCAGAGCUAGGCUUCCUUGUCGAUGACUUGCGAUCUACAGCAUCUGUGCAGGAUUGUUGCUUGGUUGGAUAUAGAAACAAAUGAAGAUAUGGAAAGGAUAAUUGUGAGGAUAUGAGGCUUCAAGAAAUAACCGUCAAAUUAAGUCUGAAACUUUUGUCUACAUCCCCAACUUAGUGUCAUCUGUUUAAAAAUUCUACAAGUUUGGUGAUGAAUUUUAUCUCAUUUGAUAGUACUAGCUGCAUCAAUCACUGGCCUCUUCAUUCCCCCUGUUUCCUUUGGAUUCUAAUCGUCUUGUCCAUGUAGGAUUCUUGAGGGGAACAGUUCAUCACGGGGCGCUAU